ACCUGGGUGGCUCAGUGGUUGAGCGUUUUAUUUUUAUUAAAAAAUAAAAAAAUAGGGGAUCCCUGGGUG
Molecule: transfer RNA, 69 nt
Filed under: Canis lupus familiaris (dog)
Lineage: Eukaryota; Metazoa; Chordata; Mammalia; Carnivora; Canidae
Also listed under: 1 other name
Source: Rfam by way of RNAcentral